Molecule: ribosomal RNA, 245 nt
Filed under: uncultured bacterium
Lineage: Bacteria
Description: partial 16S ribosomal RNA
Rfam family: Bacterial small subunit ribosomal RNA
Source: RNAcentral
GACGAGGGAUCCUAGCGUUGUUCGGAAUCAUUGGGCGUAAAGCGUAUGUAGGCGGCCUUGUAAGUCAGGUGUGAAAGCCCCGGGCUCAACCCGGGAAGUGCAUCUGAUACUGCAUGGCUUGAGUACUGGAGAGGAUAGUGGAAUUCCAGGUGUAGUGGUGAAAUACGUAGAUAUCUGGAGGAACACUGGUGGCGAAGGCGGCUAUCUGGCCAUGUACUGACGCUGAGAUACGAAAGCGUGGGGAG